AUUGAACGCUGGCGGCAGGCCUAACACAUGCAAGUCGAGCGAGUGGCGGACGGGUGAGUAAUGUAUGUGAAACUGCCUGGUGGAGGGGGAUAACUACUGGACACGGUAGCUAAUACCGCAUACCAUCGGAUGUGCCCAGAUGGGAUUAGCUAGUAGGUGGGGUAAAGGCUCACCUAGGCGACGAUCCCUAGCUGGUCUGAGAGGAUGACCAGCCACACUGGAACUGAGACACGGUCCAGACUCCUACGGGAGGCAGCAGUGGGGAAUAUUGGACAAUGGGCGAAAGCCUGAUGCAGCCAUGCCGCGUGUAUGAAGAAGGCCUUCGGGUUGUAAAGCACUUUAAGCGGGGAGGCGUUACCCGCAGAAGAAGCACCGGCUAACUCCGUGCCAGCCGCCGCGGUAAUAC
RNAcentral lists this ribosomal RNA (406 nucleotides) under uncultured bacterium. RNAcentral's name for it is "partial 16S ribosomal RNA". It matches the Rfam family "Bacterial small subunit ribosomal RNA", at positions 30 to 526 of the family's 1533-position model. The record is from RNAcentral.